CGCCUUCAGAGGGGGACAACAGUUGGAAACGACUGCUAAUACCGCAUACGAUCUGACCUCGGCAUCGAGGAUAGAUGAAAGGUGGCCUCUAUUUAUAAGCUAUCACUGAAGGAGGGGAUUGCGUCUGAUUAGCUAGUUGGAGGGGUAACGGCCCACCAAGGCGAUGAUCAGUAGCCGGUCUGAGAGGAUGAACGGCCACAUUGGGACUGAGACACGGCCCAG
This 222-nucleotide ribosomal RNA is filed under the name uncultured bacterium. RNAcentral describes it as "partial 16S ribosomal RNA". It matches the Rfam family "Bacterial small subunit ribosomal RNA", at positions 128 to 334 of the family's 1533-position model. The record is from RNAcentral.